CCCUUGUCGGAGUCUAGCAUGCGAGUCAUUGUAGCAUACAAGGCAGACGGCUCAGUAACGCGUAGUCAAUCUACCCUAUGGACGGGAAUAACCUCGGGAAACUGAGAAUAAUGCCCGAUAGAACAUUAUACCUGGAACGGUUUAUGUUUCAAAUGAUUUAUCGCCGUAGGAUGGGACUGCGGCCUAUCAGUUUGUUGGUGAGGUAAUGGCCCACCAAGACUAUUACAGGUACGGGCUCUGAGAGGAGUAGCCCGGAGAUGGGUACUGAGACACGGACCCAGGCCCUAUGGGGCGCAGCAGGCGAGAAAACUUUGCAAUGUGCGAAAGCACGACAAGGUUAAUCCGAGUGGUUUCUGCUAAAGAAACCUUUUGCUAGUCCUAGAAACACUAGUGAAUAAGGGGUGGGCAAGUUCUGGUGUCAGCCGCCGCGGUAAAACCAGCACCUCAAGUGGUCAGGAUGAUUAUUGGGCCUAAAGCAUCCGUAGCUCGUUUUGUAAGUUUUCGGUUAAAUCCAUACGCUCAACGUAUGGGCUGCCGGGAAUACUGCAUAACUAGGAAGUGGGAGAGGUAGACGGUACUCGGUAGGAAGGGGUAAAAUCCUUUGAUCUAUUGAUGACCACCUGUGGCGAAGGCGGUCUACCAGAACACGUUCGACGGUGAGGGAUGAAAGCUGGGGGAGCAAACCGGAUUAGAUACCCGGGUAGUCCCAGCUGUAAACUAUGCAAACUCAAUGAUGCAUUGGCUUGUGGCCAAUGCAGUAUUGCAGGGAAGCCGUUAAGUUUGCCGCCUGGGAAGUACGUACGCAAGUAUGAAACUUAAAGGAAUUGGCGGGGGAGCACCACAAGGGGUGAAGCCUGCGGUUCAAUUGGAGUCAACGCCGGG
Molecule: ribosomal RNA, 882 nt
Filed under: uncultured archaeon
Lineage: Archaea
Description: bacterial SSU rRNA
Rfam family: Archaeal small subunit ribosomal RNA
Source: RNAcentral